GUCAGUCUUCUGUGGAAAAUCAUCAUGACGGUUUACGUGAUUGUGACUUUUAGUGAUUCAAUUAUAUCAAAUUGUGAGUUCGCGUUCGUGUCAUAUUCAACAUGUUUCGACUUGUCGCCAAAUUGACAAGCACUUCUUUCUAUUCGUGAUUCGAGAAUCGAAAUUGUGACGUGUUACAUCGAUAGACUAUCGAUAUUCAUGGUGAAUAACGGUUUCAUUUUUUUAUUGCGUAAUAUAUAUAUUCUGCGUAUUCCUAUGUUUGAUGACUAUCUUCGCAAUGGCAUAGAUCACGAUAGUAUAAAUUUUUUAUAUAGAUUG
Apis mellifera (honey bee) is the source of this 318-nucleotide long non-coding RNA. RefSeq lists it as uncharacterized. The transcript has 3 exons. The record is from RefSeq and is a predicted model, not a curated record. Lineage: Eukaryota; Metazoa; Arthropoda; Insecta; Hymenoptera; Apidae.